Molecule: ribosomal RNA, 366 nt
Filed under: uncultured bacterium
Lineage: Bacteria
Description: partial 16S ribosomal RNA
Rfam family: Bacterial small subunit ribosomal RNA
Source: RNAcentral
CCUACGGGAGGCAGCAGUGAGGAAUAUUGGUCAAUGGGCGCGAGCCUGAACCAGCCAAGUAGCGUGAAGGAUGACUGCCCUACGGGUUGUAAACUUCUUUUAUAAAGGAAUAAAGUGAGGCACGUGUGCCUUUUUGUAUGUACUUUAUGAAUAAGGAUCGGCUAACUCCGUGCCAGCAGUCGCGGUAAUACGGAGGAGCCGAGCGUUAUCCGGAUUUAUUGGGUUUAAAGGGAGCGUAGAGGGGUUGUUAAGUCAGUUGUGAAAGUUUUCGGCUCAACCGUAAAAUUGCAAUUUAUACGGGCAGCCUUGAUUACAGUUGAGGUAGGCGGAAUUCGUGGUGUAGCGGUCAAAUGCUUAGAUAUCACG